GUGCUCGCUUUGACAGCACAUACACUAAACAAUUGUAACAAUACACAGAAGAUUAGUAUGGCCUCUGCACAAGGAUGACAUGCAAAUUUGUGAAGCAUUCCAUAAGAAA
Jaculus jaculus (lesser Egyptian jerboa) is the source of this 109-nucleotide small nuclear RNA. The record is from RefSeq and is a predicted model, not a curated record. NCBI's taxonomy places the organism in Eukaryota, Metazoa, Chordata, Mammalia, Rodentia, Dipodidae.